This 86-nucleotide non-coding RNA is filed under the name Pontibacillus marinus. Its description in RNAcentral is "c-di-GMP sequence". It matches the Rfam family "c-di-GMP-I riboswitch aptamer". From Rfam's summary of the family: GEMM was predicted in a large-scale screen for bacterial structured RNA regulatory elements. RNAcentral also lists the same sequence under 1 other name. The record is from RNAcentral. Lineage: Bacteria; Bacillati; Bacillota; Bacilli; Caryophanales; Bacillaceae.
AUAACUAUAGGGCAAACUUAUCGAAAGGUAAGGACGCAAAGCUACGGACCUAAGGUAUAAAGUACGAUGGUCGCCUGGCUGCUUAA